This is a long non-coding RNA of Nanorana parkeri, 99 nucleotides long. RefSeq lists it as uncharacterized. Lineage: Eukaryota; Metazoa; Chordata; Amphibia; Anura; Dicroglossidae. The transcript has 3 exons. The record is from RefSeq and is a predicted model, not a curated record.
GUUCAUGUCACAUUUAUUGGUUUACAUUGCCAGAACAUUACAUCUGAAAUAUACAUUUUAUAUACACACACUUACAGAUUAGGCUUCAAGAAAUAUUAU